AUGAACGUUGGCGGCGUGGAUUAGGCAUGCAAGUCGUGCGGCAGCAGGCCCCGCAAGGGGUGCUGGCGAGCGGCGAAAGGGUCAGUAACACGUGGAUAACCUACCCUCGGGCCCGGGAUAGCGGCGGGAAACUGCCGGUAAUACCGGAUAAUGUCCCUGGACCAAAGGUGUGAUUCCGUCCGAGGAUGGGUCCGCGUCCUAUUAGCUAGUUGGUGAGGUAACGGCCCACCAAGGCAAAGAUGGGUAGGGGGUGUGAGAGCAUGAUCCCCGACACUGGGACUGAGAUACGGCCCAGACUCCUACGGGAGGCAGCAGUCGAGAGGCUUCGGCAAUGGGGGAAACCCUGACCGAGCGACGCCGCGUGGGGGAUGAAGGCCUUUGGGUUGUAAACCCCUGUCAAGUGGGACGAAACACUCUGAGGUGAUAAGCCGAGGGGUUUGACGGUACCGCCAGAGGAAGCUCCGGCUAACUCCGUGCCAGCAGCCGCGGUAAUACGGGGGGAGCAAGCGUUGUUCGGAAUUACUGGGCGUAAAGGGUGUCUAGGCGGCCUUGUAAGUCGGGGGUGAAAUCCACUGGCUCAACCAGUGACGUGCCUUCGAAACUGCUAGGCUUGAGUAUGGCAGAGGAGAGCGGAAUUCCAGGUGUAGCGGUGAAAUGCGUAGAUAUCUGGAAGAACACCGGUGGCGUAGGCGGCUCUCUGGGCCAAUACUGACGCUGAAGCACGAAAGCCAGGGGAGCAAACGGGAUUAGAUACCCCGGUAGUCCUGGCCCUAAACGUUGGAUACUAGGUGUAGGAGGCAUCGACCCCUUCUGUGCCGCAGCUAACGCAUUAAGUAUCCCGCCUGGGGAGUACGACCGCAAGGUUGAAACUCAAAGGAAUUGACGGGGGCCCGCACAAGCGGUGGAGUAUGUGGUUUAAUUCGACGCAACGCGAAGAACCUUACCGGGGCUUGACAUGCACAGGACAGGCGUGGAAACACGCUCUCCCUUCGGGGUCUGUGCACAGGUGCUGCAUGGCUGUCGUCAGCUCGUGUCGUGAGAUGUUGGGUUAAGUCCCGCAACGAGCGCAACCCUUGCCCUUAGUUGCCAUCAUUCAGUUGGGAACUCUAAGGGGACUGCCGGUGAUAAGCCGGAGGAAGGUGGGGAUGACGUCAAGUCCUCAUGGCCCUUACGCCCCGGGCUACACACGUACUACAAUGGCCGGUACAGAGGGUCGCAAUGUCGCGAGACGGAGCUAAUCCCAAAAAGCCGGCCUCAGUUGGGAUCGUAGUCUGCAACUCGACUACGUGAACUCAAAAUCGCUAGUAAUCGCGGAUCAGCACACCGCGUGUAUCACUUCCCGGUGGUUGUACACACCGC
Molecule: ribosomal RNA, 1359 nt
Filed under: uncultured bacterium
Lineage: Bacteria
Description: bacterial SSU rRNA
Rfam family: Bacterial small subunit ribosomal RNA
Source: RNAcentral